CCCUUAGAUGUUCUGGGCCGCACGCGCGCUACACUGAUGCGUUCAACGAGCCUAUCCUUGACCGACAGGUCCGGGUAAUCUUUGAAUCUGCAUCGUGACGGGGAUAGAUUAUUGCAAUUAUUAAUCUUCAACGAGGAAUGCCUAGUAGGCGCAAGUCAUCAGCUUGCGUCGAUUACGUCCCUGCCCUUUGUACACACCGCCCGUCGCUCCUACCGAUUGGGUGUGCUGGUGAAAUGUUCGGAUCGGCCGUUUGUCGCGGUUUCCGCGUCAUGUGGCUGAGAAGUUCAUUAAACCCUCCCACCUAGAGGAAGGAGAAGUCGUAACA
This 325-nucleotide ribosomal RNA is filed under the name uncultured eukaryote. RNAcentral describes it as "partial 18S ribosomal RNA". It matches the Rfam family "Eukaryotic small subunit ribosomal RNA", at positions 1470 to 1796 of the family's 1831-position model. The record is from RNAcentral.